AUUUAUGGCGGCUGUGCGCGGGAGAUCUUCGGAUCUGCCGGUUUCUCUGUACCGGUUCGCCAACCUGCGUACAGCUGCCACCCUC
RNAcentral lists this non-coding RNA (85 nucleotides) under Pseudomonas umsongensis. The record is from RNAcentral. Lineage: Bacteria; Pseudomonadati; Pseudomonadota; Gammaproteobacteria; Pseudomonadales; Pseudomonadaceae.